AGCAAAAACAAAAAGGAAAGCAAAAACACGGGAUAGAUUUCGGCCCAAGGGUGAAGUUAUAAAAUUGACUAGGUUUUUUUCCCUUUUUUUCCAUUAGUGAUAUCCUGGGUGGACUCUAUCACGUUUGGUCUUUGAAGCAACAGUGGGCUACCAUGGCAACUGAAGCCAGGCAAGAUACGUAACAUGGCAUUCCCACCGAGCUUUGAGACUGGUACAAUGGACUCCGGUGAGGCGUUCACACCCACGGCUGCUUCGACAAGCAGUCAAGCGAGGAGAAGAGGGAGUCGCCUAUGAGGCGCACGGGGCAAGGGCCGUGGGAGAUGGGGCAGAGGUUGGCGUGUUUGGCCGACACCUGGGAUCGAAUUAUGUGCUGUUCGCCUUUUACUGCUUGGUUUCAAUGCAGGGCCAAUGUGCAUUAUACCUUUCCCCAUGGCCAAAGUGGAGUCUUGCUUCAGGAAAUUUGACAGUCUGCUCUACAGUGAUAAAAAAAUAUGUAAGUGAUGAGUGCAUUUGCAAAUUAAGUAGGCCUACAUCAACGUGACUGUAGCCACAGCUGGGAAUAUCGACACAUACUUAGCAUUUAGCAUAGCACAGGAUGCUACAUUUGGUGAUAAAUAGUGAUGCUAACUAAACAGUAUGACGCUGAUGGGGGAGCAUUUAGCUGCGAGAGCACAGGCAAUGACACACACAUCAUCAUACACGUCUUGAAAUCUCUUGAAACCGUGUUUUCAAACUAACUCCGCUUCUGCUGCUAGCUGCGCAUGUCUAAGAUGUGAGCUUGGUCUUUACCGAGCAAGUGAGUGUGUGCACAGGCUCUAAAGCGCUGUGCAGAGCGCACCCCCUGGUUGUGAUUGGUGGAUUGUUGCAAAUGGCAUUAAAGGCACUAGGGGUCCACAGAUGAACUAGAUUCUGUCACAUAUGAUCUGUCUCACAUAUUACUACAAGUAUAUAGUGACAGUUUCAGCAAAUAUGAAAAAAAAGUUAUCUUUGCAAAUCCUGCCGACUGCAGCUUUAAUGAUUUCCUACAGAUAUAGUUUAAGACAUUAAUACUUUGAUUAAAAAACUCCUUUCUCCUCUUUGAAUUUUUUUUAGAUUCUAUUAAUAUGUUAAUUGUUUGUUUUAAUGUGUCCUACUUUGCUGUAAAUUCUCAUAUUCUCAGUAGUUGUAGUAAGUAAGUUGUGCCAAGUGGCAAGACGUCACCCAUAGAAGUAACCAUACUUAGAGGAGCAGGGGUUGCCCUGACUGAGAGCUCGUCCACCUACACCUGCAACCUACACCUAUUGGACGAUACUAGCUGUAAAUCACACAGUAUCCGAUGCAUAUCGUGCUUUAUUGUCAAUCUCUAAAUCGGACCAUAAUUUAAAAAAAUGAUCAUCAUGCUGUAUUGAACAACACUUGAAACUAGCAAUUUAGACCAUAAAGUCCUCAGGAAACUGUUACUGAAGUUAUAUAUCAAGUGAGAAGUAGAAUCAAUUCCUCAGAGACCUCUAUAGGAACUGACAUUGUGUUUAACGGUUAGUCAUGUGUGCACCAACAGGGACUUUAUGGUGCAUUCAAAUCAGUAGUUGGAUGGGCAAAAAGGUUGCUCAAAAUUGGAUUACUUAUUUUCAUUUGUUGAAAUACAUACAUCUGCAGGUAUUGAAGGACCUUCCAUUGUUGCACUAUUAUCUAAAAGUAUGUUUGUUGACCCUUGACAGCAUUUUAAAUAGAUGCUGAAGUCAUACCAAAGGCAGUUAUUAAAAAUUUCAUAAAAAUAUUAAAUUAAAUUGUUAUCAACAAACCAUAGUAUUGUACAACAUUACCUCAAUUACCUCUUUGAUUAUUUUAUUUAAUUUUACUGCAGCAUUUUCAAUGACUGGACGCUAAAGUCGUUAUACAUACGCAUACAUUGCCAUUGCAAACCUGAUUGAAUGUGGAAUAUUCACGGGACUCAAACUGAUUGAAUAUUCCAUAUUCAAUCAGUUUGAGUCCCGUGAUAUCUACCUUGCCCUCUCUCUCUUUUGUUUUUCACUCACUUAGUAUCCAUGUGAAGGAAAAACAUGUGUUCUCCUUGUCUGUGUCCAUAUCUCAUAGAAGUUGACAUUAAUCCCUGCCUGUACCAGUCCAGAUCACCUGUUUCCAGUUACAAAGGUCAUCUGCUUCAUCUCCACAUUCUCUGCACCUCUCAUCAGCCUGUUUUAUGUACCUGUAUGUUUUCAGCCAGUGUUUGCCAAUUUGUCCCAGUGGUUUGUGUGAUUAAACAUACCUGUUCACCAUUUUUCCUGUUUUGUUUUUUUUUAAAUUUAAUCUAUCUUUUGCCCAAAAAGCUUUUGGCUGCUUUGGGAUAACCUGGUUUUGAUGUUGAAUGUUAUGGACUUUGACAUUUGGCAAUACCUCUUUAAUUUCAGUCCUGUU
Scophthalmus maximus (turbot) is the source of this 2394-nucleotide long non-coding RNA. RefSeq lists it as uncharacterized. The transcript has 3 exons. The record is from RefSeq and is a predicted model, not a curated record. NCBI's taxonomy places the organism in Eukaryota, Metazoa, Chordata, Actinopteri, Pleuronectiformes, Scophthalmidae.